UGCAUGAAGUUGGAAUUGCUAGUAAUCGUGGAUCAGCAUGCCACGGUGAAUACGUUCCCGGGUCUUGUACACACCGCCCGUCACACCAUGGGAGCUGGUAACACCCGAAGUCAGUAGUCUAACCGCAAGGAGGACGCUGCCGAAGGUGGGAUUAGCGACUGGGGUGAAGUCGUAACAAGGUAUC
RNAcentral lists this ribosomal RNA (184 nucleotides) under uncultured bacterium. Its description in RNAcentral is "partial 16S ribosomal RNA". It matches the Rfam family "Bacterial small subunit ribosomal RNA", at positions 1317 to 1500 of the family's 1533-position model. The record is from RNAcentral.